RNAcentral lists this ribosomal RNA (274 nucleotides) under uncultured bacterium. RNAcentral describes it as "partial 16S ribosomal RNA". It matches the Rfam family "Bacterial small subunit ribosomal RNA", at positions 523 to 796 of the family's 1533-position model. The record is from RNAcentral.
CUACGGGGGGUGCAAGCGUUAAUCGGAAUUACUGGGCGUAAAGCGCGCGUAGGCGGUUUGCUCAGUCGGAUGUGAAAGCCCAGGGCUCAACCUUGGAACUGCAUACGAUACUGGCAAACUAGAGUGUGAGAGAGGAUAGUGGAAUUUCCGGUGUAGCGGUGAAAUGCGUAGAUAUCGGAAGGAACAUCAGUGGCGAAGGCGACUGUCUGGCUCAACACUGACGCUGAGGUGCGAAAGCGUGGGUAGCAAACAGGAUUAGAUACCCCAGUAGUCC